UACGUAGGGUGCGAGCGUUGUCCGGAAUCAUUGGGCGUAAAGAGCGCGUAGGCGGUCCGGUAAGUCCGCUGUGAAAGUCAAGGGCUCAACCCUUGAAUGCCGGUGGAUACUGUCGGGCUAGAGUCCGGAAGAGGCGAGUGGAAUUCCUGGUGUAGCGGUGAAAUGCGCAGAUAUCAGGAGGAACACCGAUGGCGAAGGCAGCUCGCUGGGACGGUACUGACGCUGAGGCGCGAAAGCGUGGGGAGCAAACAGG
Molecule: ribosomal RNA, 253 nt
Filed under: uncultured bacterium
Lineage: Bacteria
Description: partial 16S ribosomal RNA
Rfam family: Bacterial small subunit ribosomal RNA
Source: RNAcentral